GGAUAUUGUGGCACACGGUGCCCGGGCGCUGCGGCUGCACAAUCGCACCCUGGGGAGGGCUCUGCUGGAUCCCUGCGUGUCAAACAGUGCUGGCUGUGUGUGUGGCACUGGCACUGUCACUGUCACUGUGUGUGUGGCACUGUCACUGUCACUGUCACCGUCACUGUGUGUGUGUGGCACUGUCACUGUCACUGUCACUGUGUGUGUGUGGCACUGUCACUGUCACUGUCACUGUCACUGUCACCGUCACUGUGUGUGUGGCACUGGCACUGUCACUGUCACUGUCACCGUCACUGUGUGUGUGGCACUGUCACUGUCACUGUCACUGUCACUGUCACUGUCACUGUGUGUGUGGCACUGUCACUGUCACUGUCACUGUCACUGUCACUGUCACUGUCACCGUCACUGUGUGUGUGUGGCACUGUCACUGUCACUGUCACCGUCACUGUGUGUGUGGCACUGUCACUGUCACAGUGUGUGUGGCACUGUCACUGUCACCGCCACUGUGUGUGUGUGGCACUGUCACUGUCACUGUCACCGUCACUGUGUGUGUGUGGCACUGGCACUGGCACUGUCACUGUCACUGUGUAUGUGUGGCACUGUCACUGUCACAGUGUGUGUGGCACUGGCACUGGCACUGUCACAGUGUGUGUGGCACUGUCACUGUCACUGUCAUCGUCACAGUGUGUGUGGCACUGGCACUGUCACAGUGUGUGUGUGGCACUGUCACCGUCACACUGUUUGUGGCACUGUCACUGUCACCGUCACUGUGUGUGUGUGUGUCGCUGUCACUGCUACUGUGUGUGUGUGGCUGUCACUACCACUGUCACUGUGUGUGUGUGGCACUGUCACCGUCACUGUCACUGUAUGUGUCACUUUCAUUGUCACCGUCACCAUCACUGUCACCGUCAUUGUGUGUGUGUGUCACCAUCACUCUGUGUGUGUGUCACUGGCACUGACACUGUCACUGUGUGUGUCACUGUCACUGUGUGUGUCACUGUCACUGUGUGUGUGUGCGUCUGUCCCCGUGGCUGUCACUGUCACUGUGUGUGUGUGGCGCUAUCACUGUCACUGUGUGUCAUUGUCACUGUGUGUGUGUGUCACUGGCACUGACACUGUCACUGUGUGCCAGUGACAGUGUCACUGUGUGUGUGUGUGUGUGUGCGCGCUGUCCCUGCAGCUGUCACUGUCACUUUGUGUGUGUGCCUGCCCCCAUGGCAGUCACUGCCACUGUCACUGUGUGUGUGUGCAGUCCCUGUAGC
Molecule: long non-coding RNA, 1262 nt
Filed under: Cyanistes caeruleus (blue tit)
Lineage: Eukaryota; Metazoa; Chordata; Aves; Passeriformes; Paridae
Description: lncRNA (ENSCCEG00000006361.1)
Source: RNAcentral